This 747-nucleotide ribosomal RNA is filed under the name uncultured bacterium. RNAcentral's name for it is "bacterial SSU rRNA". It matches the Rfam family "Bacterial small subunit ribosomal RNA", at positions 33 to 773 of the family's 1533-position model. The record is from RNAcentral.
ACGCUGGCGGCAGGCCUAACACAUGCAAGUCGAGCGGCAGCACAGGUACUUGUACCGGGUGGCGAGCGGCGGACGGGUGAGUAAUGCCUAGGAAUCUGCCUGGUAGUGGGGGAUAACGCUCGGAAACGGACGCUAAUACCGCAUACGUCCUACGGGAGAAAGCAGGGGACCUUCGGGCCUUGCGCUAUCAGAUGAGCCUAGGUCGGAUUAGCUAGUUGGUGGGGUAAUGGCUCACCAAGGCGACGAUCCGUAACUGGUCUGAGAGGAUGAUCAGUCACACUGGAACUGAGACACGGUCCAGACUCCUACGGGAGGCAGCAGUGGGGAAUAUUGGACAAUGGGCGAAAGCCUGAUCCAGCCAUGCCGCGUGUGUGAAGAAGGUCUUCGGAUUGUAAAGCACUUUAAGUUGGGAGGAAGGGCAGUAAAUUAAUACUUUGCUGUUUUGACGUUACCGACAGAAUAAGCACCGGCUAACUCUGUGCCAGCAGCCGCGGUAAUACAGAGGGUGCAAGCGUUAAUCGGAAUUACUGGGCGUAAAGCGCGCGUAGGUGGUUCGUUAAGUUGGAUGUGAAAUCCCCGGGCUCAACCUGGGAACUGCAUUCAAAACUGACGAGCUAGAGUAUGGUAGAGGGUGGUGGAAUUUCCUGUGUAGCGGUGAAAUGCGUAGAUAUAGGAAGGAACACCAGUGGCGAAGGCGACCACCUGGACUGAUACUGACACUGAGGUGCGAAAGCGUGGGGAGCAAAC